RNAcentral lists this ribosomal RNA (509 nucleotides) under uncultured glomeraceous AM fungus. RNAcentral's name for it is "SSU rRNA". It matches the Rfam family "Eukaryotic small subunit ribosomal RNA", at positions 569 to 1078 of the family's 1831-position model. Lineage: Eukaryota; Fungi; Glomeromycota; Glomeromycetes; Glomerales; Glomeraceae. The record is from RNAcentral.
AGCAGCCGCGGUAAUUCCAGCUCCAAUAGCGUAUAUUAAAGUUGUUGCAGUUAAAAAGCUCGUAGUUGAAUUUCGGGAUCAAUGUUUCGGUCAUGCCUUUGGUAUGUACUGAUAUUAUUGGUUUCUCACCUUCUAAAGAACCGUAAUGCCAUUAAUUUGGUGUCACGGGGAAUUAGGACUGUUACCUUGAAAAAAUUAGAGUGUUUAAAGCAGGCUCACGCUUGAAUACAUUAGCAUGGAAUAAUGAAAUAGGACAUCCGAUUCUAUUUUGUUGGUUUCUAGGAUCGAUGUAAUGAUUAAUAGGGAUAGUUGGGGGCAUUAGUAUUCAAUUGUCAGAGGUGAAAUUCUUGGAUUUAUUGAAGACUAACUACUGCGAAAGCAUUUGCCAAGGAUGUUUUCAUUAAUCAAGAACGAAAGUUAGGGGAUCGAAGACGAUCAGAUACCGUCGUAGUCUUAACCAUAGACUAUGCCGACUAGGGAUCGGAUGAUGUUAAUUUUUCAAUGACUCA